Long non-coding RNA from Brassica rapa (field mustard), 7214 nucleotides. RefSeq lists it as uncharacterized. NCBI's taxonomy places the organism in Eukaryota, Viridiplantae, Streptophyta, Magnoliopsida, Brassicales, Brassicaceae. The record is from RefSeq and is a predicted model, not a curated record.
UAUGUUUAUUCAUUUAAGAUAAUAACUAUAUAUAUAUAAAAGUUUAAGAUAAGUUAAUUUUAUACAUGAAUUAUCCUAAAUUUAGCCAAAUGUUAAUUUUAUAUAAAAGUUUAAGAUAAGUUAAUCACAAGAAGGAAUUGAAAGUAGGUUAAAUAUAUCUUAGUCAGAAGCGGAUCAAGUAAAUAGUAAUCAACAAAGAGAAUAAGCAAUUGAAAAGAUUUCCAUAUCGUCUCUUUUGUGGAGAAGCUUAAUCUUGUAAGAAUGUUCAAGUUAACUUUAGUCUCUCAUUAUCUAGUAACUAGUAAUCAUCGUGAAUUGGUUUUAACUCGCAAUAUUUUAGAACAUACAAAGAUGGGAGUGUAAACUGUGUCAACAACGUAGAAUUAAUGUACUGAGAAAGUGAGAAAUAGAGCGGACAGACGGUAAAAGCGCCUAAGCAUUAAGACGUUUUGGAAUUAACAGCUCAAUGUAUCCUGUAUCAACUCUGGAAGCAAAGGAACAAUGUUUUGCACAAUCAACUUGUCCUCCUACCACUAUCUAUUGUUAAGCUCAUUGACAGGGAGAUGCGCAACACCAUCACUGCUCGGAGAAAUAGGAAGCUCUUCCUCAACUUCAUGGCCAAGUGGAUGUACUGGUUCUAGGAUCUCUUCAUCUGCUCUUUUGUUAUUCCCUUGUUUUUAGUUUUUUUUUGGCAAGGUGUAACAUAAAUUAGAUCUACUUUGUUUUGUAAAUCUGAACCUUCAUCUUUGUGAUAUUUACCAUUUAACAAAAUAGAAUAAAAAAUAAGACGUUUUGGAAGAUGUUGAUGAGACGAAGAGUUUAGCGUUUGGGAGUACGCAGAGUCAAGUAGUGAGACCCAUCCAACAUGGCAACAAGAGGGAACAGCUGUGUUUCCGCGUGGAUUCUGUAUUGUACUCUUUCAUAUCUCUUCACUCUCUCCGACACUCUAUUACUUCUUUGACAUUCGUACCCCUGCGGUCUUUCAACACUUUUUUUCUAUCAACGUUACUUUUUUUUGGUUCUCAACAUUUUUUUUGCUUGGUUGAACAAUAUGAAAAUUGAAAAGAAAUAAGCUUGAUUGUAGUUGUAGCUUUAUCACGUGAUUAUAUGAAUUAAGAGCAUUGACUACGAAAGGUUAGGUCCUGAAAUUAACUUCUUUCUCAAGAUUCAUUUUUCACCUUCUAACAUUCUUUUACGUAACAAGGUGACACCAAAGUCAAGAUCUAUAUGUUAGUAUAUUUGUCUACAAUUUUAUUUGUAAAAUCUUUACAGUCGAAUUAGGAAACAUUAUUAUAUUCACUUAACAAUCGGUUUAGCUAACCUAUCGAUAACCACUGGAAGGUCGUGAUUGACGUCCAUGCAAAGAAUCCGGGUUAGAAUAGUAGUAUUAGAGCACUCCAUUAGUGAACCCCAUAAAAAGGGUUCACAAAGUACUUUUUUAUUAUUAUUUUUUUUGUUUGAUUUUUGUUUUUUUUUUAAAAAAAAAAUAUAUAUUUUUUCGGACCAAUCGCGGACCGCCACGUGCCGUGGGACCCGCGCUACAGUGAUGAACCAGGUUCACUGGAAAGAAGUGGAGAGAUAUAAGUUCAUCACUAUUCAAUAUUUUAAUUUUUUUUUUUUGGAAUCUGUGUUAACCCCCUCCCAUAAGUUUACUAAUGGGGUGCUCUUAGAGCAUCUGCAUUAGUGAACUCCAUGGAGAGUUCACACAGUUUUCGAAAAAAAAAAUAUUAAAAUAAACAAAAGUAAUGAACCUCCCUCUUAGAAGUUCACUGCACUGAACCCGGAUCAUCACUGUAGCGCGGGCCCCACGACACGUGGCGGCCCGCGAUUGGUCCGGUUAUAAUUUUUUUUUUUUUUUUUUUUUUUAAAACAAAAAUCAAACAGAAAAAAAAAAAAAAAUGCUUUGUGAACCCCUUCCAAGGGGUUCACUAAUGCUGAUGCUCUUAGGUUCAAAACUGAAGUUAGUUCUGCAUAGUUCAGACAAGUAGGGACCACUCAUCUGCAAACACAGAGAAUCUUACAAGUGCCUAGUUGGACUGCUUUGGUCUUAAAUCAGCAGUUAGCCCACGUGUCCAUAUCCAAUCCUCCCCACUCAUCAUCUUCGUACUAUUUUUUUCAUGCUUGGUAGACGAGACACCUUUGCUUUCUGACAUUAUUAUCUUUGUUUUUAUUUGUGUGAUAACAACGUUAUAAAGUCUUAUCUCGAAUAAUUUCCAAAUGUUUGAUAACAAAGCAAUGGAAUCUUUUUGUAAACCAAUCAAAACAAGAAGUUUAUGAAUCUUUGUGUGCUUUGAUUCAGAAUUACAAAAAAAUUAAAUAAAAGAGUUCAUAAUGAUCGAAGGAUUUAUUGGAAAAGUCCGUGUCGAAGUUGUGUACUUAAAAGCAAGAUUUAAAAUUUGAUUAGAUGUUAAAUAUGGGAAUCCCACGUCGAAAAAUUGAUGGGUUAUCUAAUAUUCACAUGUUCAUUAGAAGGUUUUAACAUUAAGCAUUCACGAUUAAAAUAUUGUAACAAUGUUUAUUUUUAAUGGUAUACUUCAAAAGCUGAAAAUCUUUUCGACUGUUUUUCCUGAGUGUCAGAUUCGCAUUUGUCUGUUUUAUUUCUUACAUCAGAAAAAGAAGAAGAAAGCAUACAUCAAGAUAGAAGAUCAUUAAUGGGAAUUGGACGUACAUGAAAAUCAAUUAAAGUGUUGUAAGAUAAAAGACGAGACCAAUAAUUGAGAGGAAAAGAAAUACUAUAGUUAUCGUAUUAUUGUUGAUAAAAAAAAAGAAGUUAUCGUAUUAUUAUGUUAUGUGGAACAUACAUAAAGGAGGCCCAUUUGACACAUGUUUCUUUCUAUCGAAAACCCUUCUUUUGUAGGUGCUGUCAACAACCCACUGUUUUUUUUUUUUCACUGUGUUUUCUUUGUUUCUUAUUCUUUCUACAAACAACCUAUAUAACCUGACCUCUACGUUAUCACUUCAUUCGUUACAAUAUCUUCAAAUAAAAUCUAGGUUUCUUAUGAAUGACCUAAAUAACUUUAACUUGGUUCACAGGUUUGGAUAAACCUACAUUCGUUAGCAAAUGAUAUUCUUAUUCUAUAUACAAUUGAAUGUCUACGAUCCAAAAUCUGACCCUGAACGACAAAGUUACUUAUUCAAGAGAAAAAUGUCUAAUUAACAACCUGAGUCUCCGAAAUUUGGUGACUACACGCAAACCGAAUGUUCGGCUCAUUCCAGGGCCGAUAGCAAUAUUCAACAGAAUGGGCCACAAUUAAUCAUGAGAAGGCCAAUCUCUGAAACCUGGGCAAGUAUUAAAACUUAUCAGGAAGUGGAUUUUAAUGGGUUUUUUUUCGAGGUGCUACAUCUUUCAGCCCAAACAAACACAUCCAUGCCACACGACAUUUUUUAAUAUCUCAAAGGUUUUUUAGAUAUCAUAUACCUAAAUUCUUGUAUCAUACAAUUAAAUAAUUAAAACCAAUAAUUCUUACAAAUUAGUUUAAAUAAUUAAUAGCCGACAAAAAUAAUUAAUUAAAUAGUAGCGAUAGAUCUCAUCGUGAGUUAGUGGUCGUAUGCUCGUAUUUUGUAGCAUGAGUCGCAUGACAUGUUGUGAAAACAAAAGAAAUUAUAGGUACCAUACCAGAAACAUUUUAAAUUAGUAUAUUUAUAGAUACUAGGUCCGUGUCCGCGCUACGCGCGGAUUAUAUGCUUUUAGUGUUUUAAAAUUUUCAUUUUUUUGUCCCAAUAUGUUAAUUGUUUUAUUUGGAAUUCGUAUUAAAAUUUUAAAAUGUUCCACAUAUCUAUUUUAACCUGUUGUGUCUCAUUUUACUGUCUUUUGUGUUUUUGUUUGAUUUAAAUUGAAAUAUAAAUUUUAAUAUUUUCCAUUUACACACAUUUUGUGUUAUUAUAAAACAGAUUUUCAAUUUUGAAUCCAUACAUUAAUACGACUACCACACUAAAUAUGGGGAAUGUAGUUUACCCACAUUUCUGUAUGAAAACCUUGAAUUACAUGGUAUGUUAUCUGAAAACUCAAAUAAUCUUGUAUAACUAUCAUAAUUUAUCUAAAAAAAUCUCAAAACCAGAAAUUAAUUUAUAAAUAGUUGAACUAAAACCAAAUCUAAUUUCAUAAACACAUGUACAUAUCUUAUAUAUUUAAAACUGAAAAUUAUAUAAAAAAAUAUAUGUUGAGCCUAACUUUAGACAUUUAGUUUUUCAGGUCUAUUAUUUUAAAAUAUAUUUGUAGUUAAAAUAUGAAAUCUAUAUUUGUCUCAUUUAACAGUUUGUGUUACUAUAAAAUUUAUUCACUUUUUAAUCCAAAAAUAACUAAUAUGACUAAAACUCUAAAUACGGGAAAUAUAGGUUAAACUUGGGGUUAUUUAUUAAAUAACCAAAAACAAAAUUGGAUUUUAGAGAGACAGUAGAAAGAGAUGGGAUGCGGAAAGAGGAUAUAGAAUGGAAUUUUGUUAGUUUGUGAAUUUUGGUUUUUUUAGUUAUUAGGUUCAAUUUCUGUUUAAUCUUUGCUUUGUUUUUUUUUUCUUUUUAAUUAUUUCCCUCACAUUCAUUCUUUACUUAUUUGGUGUGAUGUAGAACUCAUUUUAGGUACUACAGGUCGCAACUUCAAUUUUCUGAAUAUCUUUUCUUUUGCAUGCCCUUUUUUAUUCUUUUCUUAAUUGACCACAGAAAGGUGAUAGUUCAUCAGCUUAUAACUGCUACGACAGGUUAGUUUAUUCAUGUGAGCACCUAGUUUUUUUCCUUUUAAAUACAAAGAAAUAUAUAUGUAACACAUGUUUAUAAAAUCUUAAUACAAUGAUAAUAUCCAAUAUCUCUCCUUCGGAACUUCAUUGUAAAAGCGAAAAAUAAAACAAAAAAUUCUUUGAUGAUCCCAUGAAGACUAAUCCUCCCACAUGUGCUUAGUUAGCACAAUGACAGAUGAAUGAUAUAUGAUAUAUCAUCUUUAACAUUCUCUCUGCUACUGUACCCAGGGCCGGCCUAUCGCGGAAGCAGGAGAAGCGACCACUUAGGACCCACUUAAAACUUUAUUUUGUUUCUUAUGAAGUUAUCAUAUAUUUUUCAGAACAGUUACCCGUGCUUAUAGUUUUUCUUUUGGGUCAGAAUCUCUGUUUAUAAUUUAAGCGUGACAUUUUGUGGUUUAACUUCUUGAAGUAAAACAAACAGUAUUUGUCAACUUCCAACCUUUGAAAAAAUGAAACUGCUCGUAAAAAUAAACGGAAAUAUUUGAAACUCCAGUAUUAAGCCGCUCCUCACAAACCUGUGAAAACAAACAGAGUAUUGCAAUGUCUCUCAGAUGUGUGGAGCACCAUAGAAACUGGGUAGAAACUUGAUGAUAUGUAAAGAAUGGUGAACUAUGACUUGAAAAGGUGACUGGAUUCUUACCUUCUCAACUAUCUGUUCCAUUUGAGCAGCCCUCAGAAUAACAUCCUCUAGGCAUAUAUCUCUUUAAAGGUUUCAACAGGGAAACAUGAGCAACUAUAGUAAAAAAUACAUUACCACAAUCUGGAAGAUUACACUCACUAAAGAACAAAGGAAAAAAAGAGAUAGACUUCAAAGCAUUUUAGAUGGGACUUACUUCUCUCGAGAGAGUGGGAAAACAAUAUUUGACUAAGAACCCUUUGUCUAGCUUCUCUAAACAAAUGUUCCAAUCAGAAUAUAUAUUAGUUCCAAACUUGUAAAAAAAUUUAACUAAUAGUCAGCCACACAAUGAAAACUUUUCAGCAUCAUCCGGUAAUCAUAGAAUAUUUGGGUUCUGUUGAUUGACAUUCUUCCCCUGCUAGUCAGGUUGGUUCAGGAUGAGAUAAAAAUCCAACUUUUCCCAAUUAAAAAAGAAAUUAAAACUGACAUAAGUAAAGGUAAUAAAUAGUUACAGCGCCAUGUCGAGAUACCAGCUCGUGCAAUUGUAUGUCUAAUAUCUUCUUGUUCAGAACCAGCCUACACAAAAGAAGUAGAAGAGACAGAUCAAUAAAAUAUUAGUUUUGCAAAAAUCGUAACUUUCAAAUAAGAACUUUCAGGUGCUUGAUCCAGUCACCUGAAUAAUUAUUUUUUUGGAAAGGAUGUCUUUCCACGAUAGUACAGUUCCUCAAGAGCACCAGACAUGCUUACUAACUUGAAAAGUCUCCUGCAAACCAAAAAGAAUUAAGAGCGUUCAUAAUCCAAAAAGAGUAUAUCUCAGGCUAACCAAAAAAAGAAUUCAUCACAUACUUGUCAUCAGGAACAGAAACUCCACACUCUGCAUCAUUAGCAAAGAAAGAGCAAGAAACAUGAGCAAGAUCAUCAUGAAACCAUACAUUUUAACCAAUUAAACUCAGAUUAGUGCAAGUUGCUCACUGGGAAUGAGUUUGACUGAGAGAAACAUGGGAUCAUGCAUGCUUCUGCUAAAUCAACUUUGACUUUUUCAUGCCGAUGCUUGAAUUCUGGGAGACAGAGAAACAUGCUCAGAACCAACAUUAAAGGAGUCAACAACAUAAGCUCACGACUGGCAUCGUGAAGCAAGGGAUAUUGUAAUAUAUAAAUAUAUACUAUCAGAUACCAACUCAGGACUGGAAUGGAUACAAAUGGUGAUAGUACUUGGAUUUUCCUUGUUAACCUCAAGAUUGACUUACGCAAGAUUUCAAAUACUCACCUAGUUGAAACUUUGAUGUUGAUAAGUUAGAGAGUAGAAAUUUGCCAUAGAACUUUUCUCGUGAAGCAGGCUGAGUCUUUAGUUUCUUAUCUUUCAAUUACUACAGAACAUGAAGAAACAAUCAACAUUUGUCCAAAAAAAAAAGAAGAAACAAUCAGCGUAUGCAUUUCCCAACUAAAAGCCACAAGCAUUAACAUUAUGUAAAUACCUCUAAAUUAUCUCUUCUCCUGUAAAUAUUUCUUCCCUUAGCCUCCAACUCAAACUUGAUCUCCUGCAUACAAAUUUAAAGCCAAGUUCUCAACUCUACUGAAACCCACAAACCAAUAUAGUGUUUUUAGAUUCUAACCAAUGAAGGAGGUACAUACACAUCAGGAUGCAUGACCUUCUCCAUCUUUGUUUCUAGAUCCGUAGAAGCUGGCGAGAGUGUAUAGAGAGCCUUGCCUCAUAUGCGGGAGGAAUUUUUUGAUCCUUCCCGGUGGGACAAAACCUUGAAUUACAGUUCCCUGCAAACAAUUGAAGUUCGAGCAUAAGCGACAAUUAAAUUAAAAAAAAAAAUGAUUACUAAAUAUAAUAUGAAGAACAUGAUACGAAGAACAUUCAA